CAGCAGCCACGGGAAUACGGAGGGUGCAAGCGUUAAUCGGAAUUACUGGGCGUAAAGCGCACGCAGGCGGUCUGACAAGUCAGAUGUGAAAUCCCCGGGCUUAACCUGGGAACUGCAUUUGAAACUGUCAGGCUGGAGUCUUGUAGAGGGGGGUGGAAUUCCAGGUGUAGCGGUGAAAUGCGUAGAGAUCUGGAGGAAUACCGGUGGCGAAGGCGGCCCCCUGGACAAAGACUGACGCUCAGGUGCGAAAGCGUGGGGAGCAAACAGGAUUAGAUACCCGUGUAGUCCCUGUCUCUUAUAC
RNAcentral lists this ribosomal RNA (301 nucleotides) under uncultured bacterium. Its description in RNAcentral is "partial 16S ribosomal RNA". It matches the Rfam family "Bacterial small subunit ribosomal RNA", at positions 509 to 807 of the family's 1533-position model. The record is from RNAcentral.